Caenorhabditis elegans is the source of this 21-nucleotide non-coding RNA. Lineage: Eukaryota; Metazoa; Nematoda; Chromadorea; Rhabditida; Rhabditidae. The record is from Ensembl.
UGAUUCAUACUCCACCAUCAA